Molecule: ribosomal RNA, 855 nt
Filed under: Triticum aestivum (bread wheat)
Lineage: Eukaryota; Viridiplantae; Streptophyta; Magnoliopsida; Poales; Poaceae
Description: partial small subunit ribosomal RNA
Source: RNAcentral
AUGGGGUCGGAUCUGGUGGUGCUAGGUCGGAGCGCCUCCUCUCCUUUCCCCAGCCGCCACCGGCCACCUCCCAGCCCUCCUCCUCCGCCUCGUCGCCUCGCCACCUUGAGCUUGCAGCGAGCGCUCUGCUCUGGCGGCGGCGGUGGCCUCUUGUGGCGGAGCAGGAGGGGGCCUCUUGUGGCGGAGCAGGAGGGGGAAGACGGUGGCAGCGCGCCCUCUGGUGGCGGAGGAGGAGGAGGAGGGAGAUGGUGGCGGCUGCGCUUGUUCAGGGGCUCGCUCAAGGUGCUCGAGCCCGACAUCCAGCACGCCAACAACCUGGCCGCCCCGUGCCUCUUCCUCUUCCUCCUGCAGCGGACCGACUGCAGCCUCGCCGGCGCCCUCGGCCUCCUCAGGAUCCCCAUCUACAAGGCUACUCCCCCAAUGGUGAAAAUCCCCUACAGAAUGGUGCUGGAUGUCCUUUUAGAAUCUUUGGGCCUGCCAGCGGCUGAGUAUCGAACCAAAGCAUGCGAGGGUGGUUUGAAGUGUUCGUUCAAUUCAUGUGCUUGGGAUUUGUUUCGAUUGAUGGACCUCAAAGCUGAUGCAAUAAUGCAUGAACUUGCCAAAAGGAGGUUUAGCAGGUCUGACUUAUGGUCUAAGUUGAUGGUGUUUAGCAAUAUUGGUUCGAUCCAUGCAGAGGUCCUCGCCGUCGUUGCAGUGGCGGGACAAGACGGCGAGGAGCCUCCUCCUCCUCGCGGCGGCUGGCUGUUAAAUCUUUCGUUUUGUUUUCAUUUUGCCAAAGGUGAUUGGAUAAAGUUCUGUACUGAUAGUCCGAAACUUUGUGGUCGCCCAGGCUAUGCAGCCUUUAAUCAUAUUUAA